This 108-nucleotide small RNA is filed under the name Marmota monax (woodchuck). The record is from RNAcentral. Lineage: Eukaryota; Metazoa; Chordata; Mammalia; Rodentia; Sciuridae.
ACUGGGCAUGGUGGUGCACACCUGUAAUCCCAGCUACUCAGGAGGCGGAGACAGGAGGAUCAUGAGUAUGAAGCCAGUCUCAGCAACUUAGGGGAGACCCUGUCUCAC